CGGCUAACUACGUGCCAGCAGCCGCGGUAAUACGUAGGGCGCAAGCGUUAUCCGGAAUUAUUGGGCGUAAAGAGCUCGUAGGCGGUUUGUCGCGUCUGCUGUGAAAUCCCGAGGCUCAACCUCGGACCUGCAGUGGGUACGGGCAGACUAGAGUGCGGUAGGGGAGAUUGGAAUUCCUGGUGUAGCGGUGGAAUGCGCAGAUAUCAGGAGGAACACCGAUGGCGAAGGCAGAUCUCUGGGCCGUAACUGACGCUGAGGAGCGAAAGGGUGGGGAGCAAACAGGCUUAGAUACCCUGGUAGUCCACCCCGUAAACGUUGGGAACUAGUUGUGGGGUCCUUUCCACGGAUUCCGUGACGCAGCUAACGCAUUAAGUUCCCCGCCUGGGGAGUACGGCCGCAAGGCUAAAACUCAAAGGAAUUGACGGGGACCCGCACAAGCGGCGGAGCAUGCGGAUUAAUUCGAUGCAACGCGAAGAACCUUACCAAGGCUUGACAUAUACGAGAACGGGCCAGAAAUGGUCAACUCUUUGGACACUCGUAAACAGGUGGUGCAUGGUUGUCGUCAGCUCGUGUCGUGAGAUGUUGGGUUAAGUCCCGCAACGAGCGCAACCCUCGUUCUAUGUUGCCAGCACGUUAUGGUGGGAACUCAUGGAAUACUGCCGGGGUCAACUCGGAGGAAGGUGGGGAUGACGUCAAAUCAUCAUGCCCCUUAUGUCUUGGGCUUCACGCAUGCUACAAUGGCCGGUACAAAGGGCUGCGAUACCGUAAGGUGGAGCGAAUCCCAAAAAGCCGGUCCCAGUUCGGAUUGAGGUCUGCAACUCGACCUCAUGAAGU
Molecule: ribosomal RNA, 834 nt
Filed under: Microbacterium oleivorans
Lineage: Bacteria; Bacillati; Actinomycetota; Actinomycetes; Micrococcales; Microbacteriaceae
Description: bacterial SSU rRNA
Rfam family: Bacterial small subunit ribosomal RNA
Source: RNAcentral